RNAcentral lists this ribosomal RNA (497 nucleotides) under uncultured bacterium. RNAcentral describes it as "partial 16S ribosomal RNA". It matches the Rfam family "Bacterial small subunit ribosomal RNA", at positions 28 to 507 of the family's 1533-position model. The record is from RNAcentral.
GAUGAACGCUGGCGGCGUGCCUAAUACAUGCAAGUCGAGCGAACAGACGAGGAGCUUGCUCCUCUGACGUUAGCGGCGGACGGGUGAGUAACACGUGGAUAACCUACCUAUAAGACUGGGAUAACUUCGGGAAACCGGAGCUAAUACCGGAUAAUAUAUUGAACCGCAUGGUUCAAUAGUGAAAGACGGUUUUGCUGUCACUUAUAGAUGGAUCCGCGCCGCAUUAGCUAGUUGGUAAGGUAACGGCUUACCAAGGCGACGAUGCGUAGCCGACCUGAGAGGGUGAUCGGCCACACUGGAACUGGGACACGGUCCAGACUCCUACGGGAGGCAGCAGUAGGGAAUCUUCCGCAAUGGGCGAAAGCCCGACGGAGCAACGCCGCGUGAGUGAUGAAGGUCUUCGGAUCGUAAAACUCUGUUAUUAGGGAAGAACAAAUGUGUAAGUAACUAUGCACGUCUUGACGGUACCUAAUCAGAAAGCCACGGCUAACUACGUG